UACGAAGGGGGGCUAGCGUUGCUCGGAAUCACUGGGCGUAAAGGGUGCGUAGGCGGGUCUUUAAGUCAGGGGUGAAAAUCCUGGAGCUCAACUCCAGAACUGCCUUUGAUACUGAGGAUCUUGAGUUCGGGAGAGGUGAGUGGAACUGCGAGUGUAGAGGUGAAAUUCGUAGAUAUUCGCAAGAACACCAGUGGCGAAGGCGGCUCACUGGCCCGGUACUGACGCUGAGGUGCGAAAGCGUGGGGAGCAAACAGG
RNAcentral lists this ribosomal RNA (255 nucleotides) under uncultured bacterium. RNAcentral describes it as "partial 16S ribosomal RNA". It matches the Rfam family "Bacterial small subunit ribosomal RNA", at positions 524 to 776 of the family's 1533-position model. The record is from RNAcentral.